AGUAACGCGUAGGAAUCUGCCUGGUAGUGGGGGACAACCUGUGGAAACGCAGGCUAAUACCGCAUACGCCCUAAGGGGGAAAGAAGGGGAUCACUUCGGUGACCUUUUGCUAUCAGAUGAGCCUGCGUGAGAUUAGCUAGUUGGUAGGGUAAAGGCCUACCAAGGCGACGAUCUCUAGCUGGUCUGAGAGGAUGACCAGCCACACUGGGACUGAGACACGGCCCAGACUCC
RNAcentral lists this ribosomal RNA (231 nucleotides) under uncultured bacterium. RNAcentral describes it as "partial 16S ribosomal RNA". It matches the Rfam family "Bacterial small subunit ribosomal RNA", at positions 109 to 339 of the family's 1533-position model. The record is from RNAcentral.